UUAUCCUAUCGAUGGUGCCGCCAAGACAAAUUGUGGUCGCAUCCAAUUUGUUCGUUCCGGCGCCACUGUUACAUCGUGUCAAUUUUUUCGGUGCCCAUCUCGUUUGAUACUCACACUUUUUUAUCAGCGCAACUGUCAG
Non-coding RNA from Caenorhabditis elegans, 139 nucleotides. NCBI's taxonomy places the organism in Eukaryota, Metazoa, Nematoda, Chromadorea, Rhabditida, Rhabditidae. The record is from Ensembl.